RNAcentral lists this transfer RNA (61 nucleotides) under Entylia carinata. RNAcentral's name for it is "tRNA-Ala". Lineage: Eukaryota; Metazoa; Arthropoda; Insecta; Hemiptera; Membracidae. The record is from RNAcentral.
AGGAUUAUAGUUAAAUAUAACAUUUAAAUUGCAAUUAAAAAGUACCUAAAAGUUAAUCUUA